This 253-nucleotide ribosomal RNA is filed under the name uncultured bacterium. Its description in RNAcentral is "partial 16S ribosomal RNA". It matches the Rfam family "Bacterial small subunit ribosomal RNA", at positions 524 to 776 of the family's 1533-position model. The record is from RNAcentral.
UACAGAGGUCCCAAGCGUUGUUCGGAUUUACUGGGCGUAAAGGGUGCGUAGGCGGUCGGGUAAGUCUGAUGUGAAAUCUCACAGCUUAACCGUGAAACUGCAUUGGAUACUAUCCGGCUCGAGGAAUGGAGGGGAGACUGGAAUACUUGGUGUAGCAGUGAAAUGCGUAGAUAUCAAGAGGAACACCAGUGGCGAAGGCGAGUCUCUGGACAAUUCCUGACGCUGAGGCACGAAAGCGAGGGGAGCAAACGGG